GCGCCCUUCGUCUAGCGGUUAGGACGCCGCCCUUUCACGGCGGUAACACGGGUUCGAGUCCCGUAGGGCGUACCA
This 75-nucleotide transfer RNA is filed under the name Cohaesibacter marisflavi. RNAcentral's name for it is "tRNA_Glu_TTC". It matches the Rfam family "tRNA". Rfam says of the family: Transfer RNA (tRNA) molecules are approximately 80 nucleotides in length. Their secondary structure includes four short double-helical elements and three loops (D, anti-codon, and T loops). RNAcentral also lists the same sequence under 5 other names. The record is from RNAcentral. Lineage: Bacteria; Pseudomonadati; Pseudomonadota; Alphaproteobacteria; Hyphomicrobiales; Cohaesibacteraceae.